RNAcentral lists this ribosomal RNA (497 nucleotides) under uncultured bacterium. Its description in RNAcentral is "partial 16S ribosomal RNA". It matches the Rfam family "Bacterial small subunit ribosomal RNA", at positions 28 to 507 of the family's 1533-position model. The record is from RNAcentral.
GACGAACGCUGGCGGCGUGCCUAAUACAUGCAAGUUGAGCGCUGAAGGUUGGUACUUGUACCAACUGGAUGAGCAGCGAACGGGUGAGUAACGCGUGGGGAAUCUGCCUUUGAGCGGGGGACAACAUUUGGAAACGAAUGCUAAUACCGCAUAAAAACUUUAAACACAAGUUUUAAGUUUGAAAGAUGCAAUUGCAUCACUCAAAGAUGAUCCCGCGUUGUAUUAGCUAGUUGGUGAGGUAAAGGCUCACCAAGGCGAUGAUACCUAGCCGACCUGAAAGGGUGAACCGGCAAAAUUGGAACUAGGCACCGGCCAAACCUCCUACGGGAGGAGCAGGAAGGGAACUUUCGGCAAUGAAGGAAAGCUUAACGGGCCAACGCGCCGUGAGUAAGGAGGGUUUUCGGAUCGAAAAACUCUGUUGUUAGGGAGAACGGUGGGUGGAAGGGAAAGCCCAACAAGGGACGGUAACUAACCAGAAAGGGACGGCUAACUACGUG